RNAcentral lists this ribosomal RNA (253 nucleotides) under uncultured bacterium. Its description in RNAcentral is "partial 16S ribosomal RNA". It matches the Rfam family "Bacterial small subunit ribosomal RNA", at positions 524 to 776 of the family's 1533-position model. The record is from RNAcentral.
UACGGAGGAUCCAAGCGUUAUCCGGAAUCAUUGGGUUUAAAGGGUCCGUAGGUGGAUAAUUAAGUCAGAGGUGAAAUCCUGCAGCUUAACUGUAGAAUUGCCUUUGAUACUGGUUAUCUUGAGUUACUAUGAAGUAGUUAGAAUAUGUAGUGUAGCGGUGAAAUGCAUAGAUAUUACAUAGAAUACCAAUUGCGAAGGCAGAUUACUAAUAUUACACUGACACUGAUGGACGAAAGCGUGGGUAGCGAACGGG